This is an RNA transcript of Populus trichocarpa (black cottonwood), 1373 nucleotides long. RefSeq lists it as uncharacterized. The transcript has 7 exons. NCBI's taxonomy places the organism in Eukaryota, Viridiplantae, Streptophyta, Magnoliopsida, Malpighiales, Salicaceae. The record is from RefSeq and is a predicted model, not a curated record.
GUGUGCUAUUUAAGUCAACGCAUCUUGUUUGUUUGCCUAAUGUUCUUAAUAAUUCAAGGCCAUUAAUCAUUUGAACUAAUUGCUGUACUCUCUCGCAGAUCUUCUGUGAAACAUGGAACAUAUCAGCCACACACAUGUGGAAGUAAAUGGGCUAAAACUACAUGUGGCAGAGAUUGGCACUGGUCCUAAGGUUGUGUUGUUCCUGCAUGGAUUCCCACAAAUAUGGUACACAUGGAGGUAUCAAAUGAUUGCUGUUGCGAAAGCUGGAUAUAGAGCAAUAGCCUAUGAUUUUAGGGGCUAUGGGCUCUCAGAGCUUCCAGCUGAACCUGAGAAAGGGGGCUUCAUUGACCUUGUUGAGGAUACGAUUGCCCUUCUUGACACUCUUGGCAUCAGUAAGGAACCUUUGAGGGAUGCUUGGUUUAGAUGCCAUCAAGCAAAAAGAUUUGACCAAUCUACCGCACAACUUUUGUUCUUGCGCAUACAUGAACUGAAAUGUAAUAUAUACCUGCAUCGAUGCCAGGCCUUUCUAGUCGGUACAGACCUGGGAUCAUUUCCAGCAUACAUGAUAGCUGUUCUUUACCCGGAGAGGGUUACCAGUUUAGUAUCACUAGGUGUUCCAUUCAGGCUACCAGGGCCCAGAGAUGACAUUGAUCUGAUGCCCGAAGGUUUCUACUGCAAAAGGUGGCAGGAGCCAGGCAGAGCUGAAGCAGAUUUCGGGCGAUUUGAUGUUAAGACAGUGAUAAAAAACAUCUACAUUCUCUUCUCUGGAACUAAGCCACCAACAGCUAGAGAGGACCAAGAGAUCAUGGACAUGGUUGACCCGUCUACUCCUCUACCACCAUGGUUCUCUGAAGAAGAUCUUGCAGUCUAUGCAUCCUUGUACGAGAAGUCUGGAUUUCGCUAUUCAUUGCAGGUUCCAUACAGGACUAUAGGCAUAGAUUGCUGUGGAAUAACUAAUCCAAAAGUUUUGGCACCAACAUUGCUGAUUAUGGGUGAGAAGGACUAUGUGCUUGGUUUCCCGGGUAUGGUAGAAUACAUAAAGAGUGACCUUCUGAAGCAUAUAGUUCCAGAUUUGGACAGUGUCUUUCUGGAAGAAGGGAACCAUUUUGUUCAUGAGAAACUUCCAGAGCAGGUGAAUGAGAUAAUGAUCAACUUCCUCAACAAACAUAGAAAGUGAAGACAAGUAUCGAUGAGCAGCUGAAGUUAUGCAAUGUUAUCCUUUCACGAUAAUAAAAAGUGAGCAACGGAUGUAACUGGAUACAUCUGAUCCAAGAAUCCAAAGGAUUCUCUGAAGAUAAAUCCCUACCUGGUAAGAGAUCAGGAUAGUGAUUGUAGCUUAAGGAACAAAGCUGAAGGAUCUGUUUUCAGCUCUC